GGCACGGUGGUGCAGUGGUAGCACUGUGGCCUUACAGUUAGAAGGUUGCUGGUUCGAGGCUUGCUGGUGUUC
Non-coding RNA from Danionella cerebrum, 72 nucleotides. The record is from the annotation of a GenBank genome assembly. NCBI's taxonomy places the organism in Eukaryota, Metazoa, Chordata, Actinopteri, Cypriniformes, Danionidae.